Molecule: ribosomal RNA, 293 nt
Filed under: uncultured bacterium
Lineage: Bacteria
Description: partial 16S ribosomal RNA
Rfam family: Bacterial small subunit ribosomal RNA
Source: RNAcentral
CGCCCUACGGGGGGCAGCAGUGGGGAAUAUUGGGCAAUGGGCGCAAGCCUGACCCAGCAACGCCGCGUGAAGGAAGAAGGCUUUCGGGUUGUAAACUUCUUUUGUCAGGGACGAAGCAAGUGACGGUACCUGAUGAAUAAGCCACGGCUAACUACGUGCCAGCAGCCGCGGUAAUACGUAGGUGGCAAGCGUUAUCCGGAUUUACUGGGUGUAAAGGGCGUGUAGGCGGGAGUGCAAGUCAGAUGUGAAAACUAUGGGUGCAACCCAUAGCCUGCAUUUGAAACUGUACUUUU